CCAGUGAUAAACUGGAGGAAGGUGGGGAUGACGUCAAGUCAUCAUGGCCCUUACGACCAGGGCUACACACGUGCUACAAUGGCGCAUACAAAGAGAAGCGACCUCGCGAGAGCAAGCGGACCUCAUAAAGUGCGUCGUAGUCCGGAUUGGAGUCUGCAACUCGACUCCAUGAAGUCGGAAUCGCUAGUAAUCGUGGAUCAGAAUGCCACGGUGAAUACGUUCCCGGGCCUUGUACACACCGCCCGUCACACCAUGGGAGUGGGUUGCAAAAGAAGUAGGUAGCUUAACCUUCGGGAGGGCGCUUACCACUUUGUGAUUCAUGACUGGGGUGAAGUCGUAACAAGGUAACCGUAGGGGAACCUGCGGUUGGA
RNAcentral lists this ribosomal RNA (371 nucleotides) under Escherichia coli. RNAcentral's name for it is "bacterial SSU rRNA". It matches the Rfam family "Bacterial small subunit ribosomal RNA", at positions 1152 to 1522 of the family's 1533-position model. RNAcentral also lists the same sequence under 8 other names. Lineage: Bacteria; Pseudomonadati; Pseudomonadota; Gammaproteobacteria; Enterobacterales; Enterobacteriaceae. The record is from RNAcentral.